This 330-nucleotide ribosomal RNA is filed under the name uncultured Glomeromycotina. RNAcentral's name for it is "eukaryotic LSU rRNA". The record is from RNAcentral. Lineage: Eukaryota; Fungi; Glomeromycota.
CAGUCGUACCUUCGGGUAAUCAGCCUUUUGGGUGUGAUUUUGUGGAGCGUGAGGAGUUAAACGCCUUCAUGCCCGCAUAUUCGUGCACUUUGGGUGUACUUGCCAGUGUGGUUGGUUAACAUCAAUUUUGGUUAUCAUAAAAUGACUGGAGGAAUGUAGCUUCGAUCUCGUAUUGAAGUGUUAUAGCCUUCGGUAGAUGUGAUGAUCGAGAUUGAGGAUUGCAACGGAUACCCUUCGGGGCUACCUGUCUGGUCUCUGAUCGUUGCUCUGGUGCCGAAAGCUUGCUUACGGUUAUCAAAGUCGAUGGUCAAUAGGUUAGAACGGGUUAAA